UACGGGUGGCGCAAGUGUUAUUCCUCUUGACUCGGCGUAAAGGGUGCGUAGACGGAUAAUUACCUUUUGAAGUGAAAUAAAUACUUUUUUAACUUUUUAUCUUGAGUGAUAUGGGCGAUGGUGGAACUUCUUGCAUUAGCGUUAAAAUGCGUUUAAACGAGAGAGAACACCAAAGGCAAAGGCAACUAUCGACUAAUCACUGACGUUGAGGCACGAAGGCAUGGGUAUCGAAUGGG
RNAcentral lists this ribosomal RNA (236 nucleotides) under uncultured bacterium. Its description in RNAcentral is "partial 16S ribosomal RNA". It matches the Rfam family "Bacterial small subunit ribosomal RNA", at positions 524 to 776 of the family's 1533-position model. The record is from RNAcentral.